GAUGAACGCUGGCGGCGUGCCUAAUACAUGCAAGUCGAGCGAACAGAUGAGGAGCUUGCUCCUCUGACGUUAGCGGCGGACGGGUGAGUAACACGUGGAUAACCUACCUAUAAGACUGGGAUAACUUCGGGAAACCGGAGCUAAUACCGGAUAAUAUAUUGAACCGCAUGGUUCAAUAGUGAAAGACGGUUUUGCUGUCACUUAUAGAUGGAUCCGCGCCGCAUUAGCUAGUUGGUAAGGUAACGGCUUACCAAGGCAACGAUGCGUAGCCGACCUGAGAGGGUGAUCGGCCACACUGGAGCUGAGACACGGUCCAGACUCCUACGGGAGGCAGCUGUAGGGAAUCUUCCGCAAUGGGCGAAAGCCUUACGGAGCAACGCCGCGUGAGUGAUGAAGGUCUUCGGAUCGUAAAACUCUGUUAUUAGGGAAGAACAAAUGUGUAAGUAACUAUGCACGUCUUGACGGUACCUAAUCAGAAAGCCACGGCUAACUACGUG
This 497-nucleotide ribosomal RNA is filed under the name uncultured bacterium. RNAcentral describes it as "partial 16S ribosomal RNA". It matches the Rfam family "Bacterial small subunit ribosomal RNA", at positions 28 to 507 of the family's 1533-position model. The record is from RNAcentral.